This 374-nucleotide unclassified non-coding RNA is filed under the name uncultured fungus. Its description in RNAcentral is "partial contains 5.8S ribosomal RNA and internal transcribed spacer 2". The stretch from base 1 to 133 matches the Rfam family "5.8S ribosomal RNA", at positions 22 to 154 of the family's 154-position model. Lineage: Eukaryota; Fungi. The record is from RNAcentral.
UGGCUCUCGCAUCGAUGAAGAACGCAGCGAAAUGCGAUAAGUAAUGUGAAUUGCAGAAUUCAGUGAAUCAUCGAAUCUUUGAACGCACCUUGCGCCCUCUGGUAUUCCGGAGGGCAUGCCUGUUUGAGUGUCUUGAUAUCAUCAAUCCCUCGGGUUCGCGCCCGCUGCGGGUUGGAAUUGGGGGUCUGCUGCCGCGAGGCGGCUCCCCUUAAAAUCAUCGGUUUGGCCCGCAACAUGCGGCUAGCACCUUUGGCGUUGUAUUCUCCUCGCCUUUGAUCGGUCUUGCCCGCUUCCGCGCCUCACCUCGACUUGCCCUUUGGGUGGCGGUCAAUUCUUGACAAUCUGGCCUCAAAUCAGGUAGGACUACCCGCUGA